RNAcentral lists this transfer RNA (71 nucleotides) under Camelus dromedarius (Arabian camel). It matches the Rfam family "tRNA". Rfam says of the family: Transfer RNA (tRNA) molecules are approximately 80 nucleotides in length. Their secondary structure includes four short double-helical elements and three loops (D, anti-codon, and T loops). The record is from Rfam by way of RNAcentral. Lineage: Eukaryota; Metazoa; Chordata; Mammalia; Artiodactyla; Camelidae. RNAcentral also lists the same sequence under 1 other name.
GAGGGCAGAGCUCAGUGGUAAAGCGCCUGCUUGGAUGCAUGAGGUCCUGGGUCCAAUCCCCAGUCCCUCCA